CCCCUAGACGUUCUGGGCUGCACGCGCGCUACAAUAAUACGCACAGCGAGUAUCACCAAGCUCGAUAGGGCAAGGUAAACAACAGAAAGGGUACUGUAAUGGUUAUAGAUCCUUGUAAUUAUUGAUCUUCAACGAGGAAUUCCUAGUAAGUUUGUGUCAUCAUCACGCACUGAUUACGUCCCUGCCCUUUGUACACACCGCCCGUCGCUCCUACCGAUUGAUUGAUCCGGUGAAUUACAUAGAAUUUUGCGUUUUACAUGACGGAAGAUGAAGUGUUUUAAACCUUAUCAUUUAGAGGAAGGAGAAGUCGUAACA
Molecule: ribosomal RNA, 315 nt
Filed under: uncultured eukaryote
Lineage: Eukaryota
Description: partial 18S ribosomal RNA
Rfam family: Eukaryotic small subunit ribosomal RNA
Source: RNAcentral